This 497-nucleotide ribosomal RNA is filed under the name uncultured bacterium. RNAcentral describes it as "partial 16S ribosomal RNA". It matches the Rfam family "Bacterial small subunit ribosomal RNA", at positions 28 to 507 of the family's 1533-position model. The record is from RNAcentral.
GAUGAACGCUGGCGGCGUGCCUAAUACAUGCAAGUCGAGCGAACAGAUAAGGAGCUUGCUCCUUUGACGUUAGCGGCGGACGGGUGAGUAACACGUGGGUAACCUACCUAUAAGACUGGGAUAACUUCGGGAAACCGGAGCUAAUACCGGAUAAUAUUUCGAACCGCAUGGUUCGAUAGUGAAAGAUGGUUUUGCUAUCACUUAUAGAUGGACCCGCGCCGUAUUAGCUAGUUGGUAAGGUAACGGCUUACCAAGGCGACGAUACGUAGCCGACCUGAGAGGGUGAUCGGCCACACUGGAACUGAGACACGGUCCAGACUCCUACGGGAGGCAGCAGUAGGGAAUCUUCCGCAAUGGGCGAAAGCCUGACGGAGCAACGCCGCGUGAGUGAUGAAGGUCUUCGGAUCGUAAAACUCUGUUAUUAGGGAAGAACAUACGUGUAAGUAACUAUGCACGUCUUGACGGUACCUAAUCAGAAAGCCACGGCUAACUACGUG